RNAcentral lists this ribosomal RNA (448 nucleotides) under uncultured bacterium. Its description in RNAcentral is "partial 16S ribosomal RNA". It matches the Rfam family "Bacterial small subunit ribosomal RNA", at positions 328 to 793 of the family's 1533-position model. The record is from RNAcentral.
UGCCCAGACUCCUACGGGAGGCAGCAGUGGGGAAUAUUGCACAAUGGGGGAAACCCUGAUGCAGCGACGCCGCGUGAAGGAUGAAGUCUUUCGGUAUGUAAACUUCUAUCAGCAGGGAAGAAAAUGACGGUACCUGACUAAGAAGCCCCGGCUAACUACGUGCCAGCAGCCGCGGUAAUACGUAGGGGGCAAGCGUUAUCCGGAUUUACUGGGUGUAAAGGGAGCGUAGACGGCAUGGCAAGUCUGAUGUGAAAGCCCGGGGCUCAACCCCGGGACUGCAUUGGAAACUGUCAGGCUAGAGUGUCGGAGAGGCAAGUGGAAUUCCUAGUGUAGCGGUGAAAUGCGUAGAUAUUAGGAGGAACACCAGUGGCGAAGGCGGCUUGCUGGACGAUGACUGACGUUGAGGCUCGAAAGCGUGGGGAGCAAACAGGAUUAGAUACCCUCGUAC